UCCGUAGGGUGCGAGCGUUAAUCGGAAUUACUGGGCGUAAAGCGAGCGCAGGCGGUUGGUUAAGUCUGAUGUGAAAGCCCCGGGAUCAACUUGGGAAUGGCAUUGGAAACUGGCUGGCUAGAGUGUGGCAGAGGGGGGUGGAAUUCCGCGUGUAGCAGUGAAAUGCGUAGAGAUGCGGAGGAACACCGAUGGCGAAGGCAGCCCCCUGGGCUGACACUGA
RNAcentral lists this ribosomal RNA (220 nucleotides) under uncultured bacterium. Its description in RNAcentral is "partial 16S ribosomal RNA". It matches the Rfam family "Bacterial small subunit ribosomal RNA", at positions 524 to 743 of the family's 1533-position model. The record is from RNAcentral.